RNAcentral lists this ribosomal RNA (255 nucleotides) under uncultured bacterium. Its description in RNAcentral is "partial 16S ribosomal RNA". It matches the Rfam family "Bacterial small subunit ribosomal RNA", at positions 57 to 305 of the family's 1533-position model. The record is from RNAcentral.
GCAAGUCGAACGGUAACAGAGAAGAGCUUGCUCUUUUGCUGACGAGUGGCGCACGGGUGCGUAACGCGUAUACAAUCUACCUUUUACAGGGGGAUAGCCUUUAGAAAUGAAGAAUAAUACCCCAUAGUAAGUAUUUAUGGCAUCAUAAGAACUUUAAAGUUUCGGCGGUAAAAGAUGAGUAUGCGUUCUAUUAGCUAGAUGGUGAGGUAACGGCUCACCAUGACUACGAUGGGUAGGGGCCCUGAGAGGGGGAUC